CGGAUUGUAGUCUGCAACCCGACUACAUGAAGCUGGAAUCGCUAGUAAUCGCGGAUCAGAAUGCCGCGGUGAAUACGUUCCCGGGUCUUGUACACACCGCCCGUCACACCAUGGGAGUCGGAAAUGCCCGAAGUCUGUGACCCAACCGGAAGGAAGGAGCAGCCGAAGGCAGGUCUGAUGACUGGGGUGAAGUCGUAACAAGGUAUC
RNAcentral lists this ribosomal RNA (207 nucleotides) under uncultured bacterium. RNAcentral describes it as "partial 16S ribosomal RNA". It matches the Rfam family "Bacterial small subunit ribosomal RNA", at positions 1294 to 1500 of the family's 1533-position model. The record is from RNAcentral.